This 27-nucleotide non-coding RNA is filed under the name Mus musculus (house mouse). Lineage: Eukaryota; Metazoa; Chordata; Mammalia; Rodentia; Muridae. The record is from RNAcentral.
UGUGAGUCUGAGUGUUUAUAUGUAUGU